RNAcentral lists this ribosomal RNA (451 nucleotides) under uncultured bacterium. RNAcentral describes it as "bacterial SSU rRNA". It matches the Rfam family "Bacterial small subunit ribosomal RNA", at positions 29 to 524 of the family's 1533-position model. The record is from RNAcentral.
AGCGAACAUUGGCGGUAGGCUUAACACAUGCAAGUCGAGCGAGGCGUAAUAGUCGAGCGGCGAACGGGUGAGUAAUACUUGGGAAUCUGCCCUGAAGUGGGGGAUAACGUCCAGAAAUGGACGCUAAUACCGCAUAAUCCAUAUCGGGAAAGCGCGCUGCGCCUUAGGAUGAGCCCAAGUCUGAUUAGCUAGUUGGCGGGGUAAAGGCCCACCAAGGCGACGAUCAGUAGCUGGUCUGAGAGGAUGAUCAGCCACACUGGAACUGAGACACGGUCCAGACUCCUACGGGAGGCAGCAGUGGGGAAUCUUGCGCAAUGGGGGGCAACCCUGACGCAGCCAUACCGCGUGUGUGAUGAAGGUCUUCGGAUUGUAAAGCACUUUCAGCGGGGACGACAAUGACGGUACCCGCAGAAGAAGUCACGGCUAACUUCGUGCCAGCAGCCGCGGUAAU